This 243-nucleotide long non-coding RNA is filed under the name Elaeis guineensis (African oil palm). RNAcentral's name for it is "long non-coding RNA (EGUI_LNC059919)". Lineage: Eukaryota; Viridiplantae; Streptophyta; Magnoliopsida; Arecales; Arecaceae. The record is from RNAcentral.
UAGGGUUUCGAACCUAAUACCUGAGUGUGGAUAAUCAAACUCUAUGAUGAAAAAUGUAGAUCUGAAAGUUUUCUCUGAUUGUUCAUAGCCGCACAAGCAUCUGACCUCUAUGGAUGGUCCACACGAAGCUCCUCAAACCGAUCAAUCCUCCAUGGGAGUGCUAGCUCAUGCAGUCGGCUUCUGGUGGCAGAUCUUACUUGAUCUCUUUCUUUGAUUGCCUCAAAUAUUUUUAAUGUCGAAGAU